This 254-nucleotide ribosomal RNA is filed under the name uncultured bacterium. RNAcentral's name for it is "partial 16S ribosomal RNA". It matches the Rfam family "Bacterial small subunit ribosomal RNA", at positions 524 to 776 of the family's 1533-position model. The record is from RNAcentral.
UACGGAGGGUGCUAACGUUGCUCGGAAUUACUGGGCGUAAAGGGAGCGCAGGCGGAUUUGUAAGUCAGGCGUGAAAGCCCAAGGCUCAACCUUGGACGUGCGCUUGAAACUGCGAGUCUAGAGUGCAGCAGAGAGAAGCGGAAUUCCUGGUGUAGCGGUGAAAUGCGUUGAUAUCAGGAGGAACACCUGUAGCGAAGGCGGCUUCUUGGGCUGUUACUGACGCUCAUGCUCGAAAGCGUCGGGGAUCAAACAGG